This 369-nucleotide ribosomal RNA is filed under the name uncultured bacterium. RNAcentral describes it as "bacterial SSU rRNA". It matches the Rfam family "Bacterial small subunit ribosomal RNA", at positions 527 to 896 of the family's 1533-position model. The record is from RNAcentral.
GUAGGGUGCGAGCGUUAAUCGGAAUUACUGGGCGUAAAGCGUGCGCAGGCGGUUCUGAAAGUCAGCUGUGAAAGCCCCGGGCUUAACCUGGGAAUGGCGGUUGAAACUACAGGACUAGAAUCUGGCAGAGGGGGGUGGAAUUCCACGUGUAGCAGUGAAAUGCGUAGAGAUGUGGAAGAACACCGAUGGCGAAGGCAGCCCCCUGGGCUGAGAUUGACGCUCAGGCACGAAAGCGUGGGGAGCAAACAGGAUUAGAUACCCUGGUAGUCCACGCCCUAAACGAUGUCAACUAGGUGUUGGGAGCGCAAGUUCUUGGUACCGCAGCUAACGCGUGGAGUUGACCGCCUGGGGAGUACGGUCGCAAGAUUA